RNAcentral lists this ribosomal RNA (462 nucleotides) under uncultured bacterium. RNAcentral describes it as "partial 16S ribosomal RNA". It matches the Rfam family "Bacterial small subunit ribosomal RNA", at positions 355 to 808 of the family's 1533-position model. The record is from RNAcentral.
UGGGGAAUAUUGCACAAUGGGCGCAAGCCUGAUGCAGCCAUGCCGCGUGUGUGAAGAAGGCCUUCGGGUUGUAAAGCACUUUCAGCGAGGAGGAAGGUGGUGAGCUUAAUACGCUCAUCAAUUGACGUUACUCGCAGAAGAAGCACCGGCUAACUCCGUGCCAGCAGCCGCGGUAAUACGGAGGGUGCAAGCGUUAAUCGGAAUUACUGGGCGUAAAGCGCACGCAGGCGGUUUGUUAAGUCAGAUGUGAAAUCCCCGGGCUCAACCUGGGAACUGCAUUUGAAACUGGCAAGCUAGAGUCUCGUAGAGGGGGGUAGAAUUCCAGGUGUAGCGGUGAAAUGCGUAGAGAUCUGGAGGAAUACCGGUGGCGAAGGCGGCCCCCUGGACGAAGACUGACGCUCAGGUGCGAAAGCGUGGGGCAGCAAACAGGAUUAGAUACCCUGGUAGUCCACGCUGUAAAAC